Molecule: long non-coding RNA, 483 nt
Organism: Mustela erminea (ermine)
Lineage: Eukaryota; Metazoa; Chordata; Mammalia; Carnivora; Mustelidae
Exons: 3
Source: RefSeq, a predicted model, not a curated record
AGGCUCCAUGCGCAGAAUGCAGCCCAAUGUGGUGCUUGAACUUACGACUCUGGGAUCAACACCAGCGCAUCCUGCCUUUUCUCCAGCGGUUCCAAAGCACCAAUGGGACAAGCAUCCCAGAGGAACUACUGAAGUUGUCCAAAGAGGGAGUGGGGUGCUCAGAUCACAACCCUGGUGCUUCCAGAAGGCUGCAGAGAGGAUGAUGGCUUCUACAGAAGUCCAAGCCGUGGCAGGAUGACUGACCAGUAAGAACAGGUCGACCAGUAGUGUAGGCCAGAGAAGCGGCCCAUGGCAAUAGGGAUGGGGAACAGCAGGUUCACGCAGGACAGACUAGGAAUCAGUACCUGCUAUUUCUUGGGAUUCCGAGUUCUCUAAGUUCACUACAUUAAGAAUACUCUAUAUCCUAACAUUACUACUGCCUCGAUGUUCCCAGGGCAUCUAAGUGUCAUCACUGGGAGCAUCCCCUAGGGUACUGUCACCAAA